RNAcentral lists this long non-coding RNA (489 nucleotides) under Monodelphis domestica (gray short-tailed opossum). RNAcentral describes it as "lncRNA (ENSMODG00000050819.1)". The record is from RNAcentral. Lineage: Eukaryota; Metazoa; Chordata; Mammalia; Didelphimorphia; Didelphidae.
UUCCUUAUGAUGACUAGACUUAACCAUUUACAUCAUAAUUAAGGUAUUAUGAAAUGAGACAACAGUGAGCCUUGGAAUGUAAACUUCUUGAGGGCAGGAAAAGUACAUUCCUUUUCACACAGCAUAGCCCCUGAUACCUACUAGGGGCUUAAAUGCUUGUCCACUGAUUGAAAAGUUGGUCCAAAAGAUGCCACGUCUUGGGACAGUAUGCUGUCAGUGCCCUCCUGGUUACUCUGGGGAAUCCAAUGUCAUGUGAAACGGAAAAGCUACCAGGAUGGAUUUUCCAUCCCUUGCUGAAAUCCCAUUGUGAAAGAGAAAAAUUCUUUGAUCUCCUGGAAUGACUUUCUGACACUAGAGGUGGGACCUGGGCCUGUGAUUUCGUUGGCACAGAGAAUAGGUUUCAGUUCUUUGGAGACCGUGUCUUACAAUCAUAUAACAACCAAGAAUGCUGAUAUUAAAAGGUUGAGCCGUCGUUUCUGGAGAAAUUAG